AAUUUUUAUACUUAGGGCACCUUGUUAAUUUAGUUUAGUGAUGUUUAUUAAAUUAUACGAAAGUGCCUUAUUUUUUUAGAGUAUUUCAAUGUAAAAUUACAUAUAAGAGCAAAGUAUUUUGGCGAGACUCAUGAGGGAACAGGACAAGCUGAAGACUUAUAUAGGCUGAAGCUGUCUCAUAAGAAAGCGAGCCAACAAUACAAAGUAUUGUAAAUAAAGAAGCCAGUAA
This is a small RNA of Staphylococcus epidermidis RP62A, 229 nucleotides long. It matches the Rfam family "S. aureus tsr24 small RNA". NCBI's taxonomy places the organism in Bacteria, Bacillati, Bacillota, Bacilli, Caryophanales, Staphylococcaceae. The record is from Rfam.